Molecule: ribosomal RNA, 444 nt
Filed under: uncultured bacterium
Lineage: Bacteria
Description: bacterial SSU rRNA
Rfam family: Bacterial small subunit ribosomal RNA
Source: RNAcentral
GCAGAACGCGAAGAACCUUACCCAGGUUUGACAUCGAUGGCAACUCUAUGAAAGUAGAGCCUCUUCCCACAAGGAAGACCAGAAGACACUUGUUGCAUGGCUGUCGUCAGCUCGUGCCGUGAGGUGUACGGUUAAGUCCGCCAACGAGCGCAACCCUCGUCCUAUGUUACCAGCGAGUAAAGUCGGGGACUCAUGGGAGACCGCCGGUGUAAGCCGGAGGAAGGUGGGGAUGAUGUCAAGUCAGCAUGGCAGUUACACCUGGGGCUUCACACAUGCUACAAUGGGCGCAACAAAGGGCAGCAAUACCGUGAGGUGGAGCCAAUCCCAAAAAUACGUCCUCAGUUCAGAUUGUAGUCUGCAACUCGACUACAUGAAGGCGGAAUCGCUAGUAAACGCAGGUCAGCUAUACUGCGUUGAAUACGUUCCCGGGUCUUGUACACACCG